GACGAACGCUGGCGGCGUGCCUAAUACAUGCAAGUCGGACGCUGAAGGAGGAGCUUGCUUCUCUGGAUGAGUUGCGAACGGGUGAGUAACGCGUAGGUAACCUGCCUGGUAGCGGGGGAUAACUAUUGGAAACGAUAGCUAAUACCGCAUAAUAGUAGAUGUUGCAUGACAUUUGCUUAAAAGGUGCAAUUGCAUCACUACCAGAUGGACCUGCGUUGUAUUAGCUAGUUGGUGGGGUAACGGCUCACCAAGGCGACGAUACAUAGCCGACCUGAGAGGGUGAUCGGCCACACUGGGACUGAGACACGGCCCAGACUCCUACGGGAGGCAGCAGUAGGGAAUCUUCGGCAAUGGACGGAAGUCUGACCGAGCAACGCCGCGUGAGUGAAGAAGGUUGUCGGAUCGUAAAGCUCUGUUGUAAGAGAAGAACGAGUGUGAGAGUGGAAAGUUCACACUGUGACGGUAUCUUACCAGAAAGGGACGGCUAACUACGUG
RNAcentral lists this ribosomal RNA (495 nucleotides) under uncultured bacterium. RNAcentral describes it as "partial 16S ribosomal RNA". It matches the Rfam family "Bacterial small subunit ribosomal RNA", at positions 28 to 507 of the family's 1533-position model. The record is from RNAcentral.